RNAcentral lists this ribosomal RNA (422 nucleotides) under uncultured bacterium. Its description in RNAcentral is "bacterial SSU rRNA". It matches the Rfam family "Bacterial small subunit ribosomal RNA", at positions 355 to 774 of the family's 1533-position model. The record is from RNAcentral.
UAAGGAAUAUUGGUCAAUGGACGCAAGUCUGAACCAGCCAUGCCGCGUGGAGGAUGAAGGUCCUCUGGAUUGUAAACUUCUUUUAUCUGGGACGAAACACUUCUUUUCUAAGAGGCCUGACGGUACCAGAUGAAUAAGCACCGGCUAACUCCGUGCCAGCAGCCGCGGUAAUACGGAGGGUGCAAGCGUUAUCCGGAUUCGCUGGGUUUAAAGGGUGCGUAGGUGGGUAUGUAAGUCAGUGGUGAAAUCCCCGAGCUUAACUUGGGAACUGCCAUUGAUACUAUAUAUCUUGAAUACCGUAGAGGUAAGCGGAAUAUGUCAUGUAGCGGUGAAAUGCUUAGAUAUGACAUGGAACACCAAUUGCGAAGGCAGCUUACUAUGCGGUGAUUGACACUGAGGCACGAAAGCGUGGGUAGCAAACA